AGUGAACGCUGGCGGUAGGCCUAACACAUGCAAGUCGAACGGCAGCACAGUAAGAGCUUGCUCUUACGGGUGGCGAGUGGCGGACGGGUGAGGAAUACAUCGGAAUCUACUUUUUCGUGGGGGAUAACGUAGGGAAACUUACGCUAAUACCGCAUACGACCUACGGGUGAAAGCAGGGGAUCUUCGGACCUUGCGCGAUUGAAUGAGCCGAUGUCGGAUUAGCUAGUUGGCGGGGUAAAGGCCCACCAAGGCGACGAUCCGUAGCUGGUCUGAGAGGAUGAAAGGACACACUGGAACAGAGCCGGGGCCGAGACACCUGGGGGGGGAAGAGGGGGGAAAUAUUGAAAAAGGGGGGAAAGCCGAACAAGGCAAAACCGGGGGGAGAAAGAGGGCCGUGGGUUUAAAAAGCCUUUUGGGGGGGAAAAAAAAAAAGAGGUUAAAACCCGGGGGUUUAGGAGGGUACAAAAAGAAAAAGCCCCGGCUAACUUCGUG
RNAcentral lists this ribosomal RNA (492 nucleotides) under uncultured bacterium. RNAcentral's name for it is "partial 16S ribosomal RNA". It matches the Rfam family "Bacterial small subunit ribosomal RNA", at positions 30 to 507 of the family's 1533-position model. The record is from RNAcentral.